GUUAAGAGGAGUGGUUAGCUUCUGCGAAGCUACGAAUCGAAGCCCAAGUAAAAGGAGGAAGGAAAGAAGAAGGGGAAAGGGGGGCGAAAUUCCUUGUCGGGUAAGUUCCGACCCGCACGAAAGGCGUAACGAUUUGGGCACUGUCUCAACGAGAGACUCGGUGAAAUCAUAGUACCUGUGAAGAUGCAGGUUACCCGCGACAGGACGGAAAGACCCCGUGGAGCUUUACUGUAGCCUGAUAUUGAAAUUCGGCACAGCUUGUACAGGAUAGGUAGGAGCCUUUGAAACGUGAGCGCUAGCUUACGUGGAGGCGCUGGUGGGAUACUACCCUAGCUGUGUUGGCUUUCUAACCCGCACCACUUAUCGUGGUGGGAGACAGUGUCAAGCGGGCAGUUUGACUGGGGCGGUCGCCUCCUAAAAGGUAACGGAGGCGCUCAAAGGUUCCCUCAGAAUGGUUGGAAAUCAUUCAUAGAGUGUAAAGGCAUAAGGGAGCUUGACUGCGAGACCUACAAGUCGAGCAGGGUCGAAAGACGGACUUAGUGAUCCGGUGGUUCCGCAUGGAAGGGCCAUCGCUCAACGGAUAAAAGCUACCCCGGGGAUAACAGGCUUAUCUCCCCCAAGAGUUCACAUCGACGGGGAGGUUUGGCACCUCGAUGUCGGCUCAUCGCAUCCUGGGGCUGUAGUCGGUCCCAAGGGUUGGGUUGUUCGCCCAUUAAAGCGGUACGCGAGCUGGGUUCAGAACGUCGUGAGACAGUUCGGUCCCUAUCCGUCGUGGGCGUAGGAAAUUUGAGAGGAGCUGUCCUUAGUACGAGAGGACCGGGAUGGACAUACCUCUGGUGUACCAGUUGUCGUGCCAACGGCAUAGCUGGGUAGCUAUGUGUGGACGGGAUAAGUGCUGAAAGCAUCUAAGCAUGAAGCCCCCCUCAAGAUGAGAUUUCCCAACUUCGGUUAUAAGAUCCCUCAAAGAUGAUGAGGUUAAUAGGUUCGAGGUGGAAGCAUGGUGACAUGUGGAGCUGACGAAUACUAAUCGAUCGAAGACUUAAUCAAAA
This 1049-nucleotide ribosomal RNA is filed under the name Staphylococcus aureus. Its description in RNAcentral is "bacterial LSU rRNA". It matches the Rfam family "Bacterial large subunit ribosomal RNA", at positions 1876 to 2925 of the family's 2925-position model. The record is from RNAcentral. Lineage: Bacteria; Bacillati; Bacillota; Bacilli; Caryophanales; Staphylococcaceae.